GACGAACGCUGGCGGCGUGCCUAAUACAUGCAAGUUGAGCGCUGAAGGUUGGUACUUGUACCAACUGGAUGAGCAGCGAACGGGUGAGUAACGCGUGGGGAAUCUGCCUUUGAGCGGGGGACAACAUUUGGAAACGAAUGCUAAUACCGCAUAAAAACUUUAAACACAAGUUUUAAGUUUGAAAGAUGCAAUUGCAUCACUCAAAGAUGAUCCCGCGUUGUAUUAGCUAGUUGGUGAGGUAAAGGCUCACCAAGGCGAUGAUACAUAGCCGACCUGAGAGGGUGAUCGGCAACAUUGGGACUGAGACACGGCCCAAACUCCUACGGGAGGCAGCAGUAGGGAAUCUUCGGCAAUGGACGAAAGUCUGAACGAGCAACGCCGCGUGAGUGAAGAAGGUUUUCGGGUCGUAAAACUCUGUUGGUAGAGAAGAACGUUGGUGAGAGUGGAAAGCUCAUCAAGUGACGGUAACUACCCAGAAAGGGACGGCUAACUACGUG
Molecule: ribosomal RNA, 497 nt
Filed under: uncultured bacterium
Lineage: Bacteria
Description: partial 16S ribosomal RNA
Rfam family: Bacterial small subunit ribosomal RNA
Source: RNAcentral